CCUGUAGGUGAACCUGCGGAAGGAUCAUUA
Molecule: ribosomal RNA, 30 nt
Filed under: Golovinomyces sp. MUMH3042
Lineage: Eukaryota; Fungi; Ascomycota; Leotiomycetes; Helotiales; Erysiphaceae
Description: Euoidium sp. MUMH3042 partial 18S ribosomal RNA
Source: RNAcentral